CCCUUGGCCAGGUUGAAGGCUGGGUAACACCAGCUGGAGGACCGCACCAAUAAGCGUUGAAAAGCUUCUGGAUGAGCCGAGUGUAGGAGUGAAAGGCCAAUCAAACUUGGAGAUAGCUCGUACUCCCCGAAAGGCAUUUAGGUGCCGCGUCGGAUGGUCACCGUGAGAGGUAGAGCGACCGAUAGGACAAGAGGGCUUCACCGCCUAUCGAGUCCUGACGAACUCCGAAUGCUCACGGUCUGCAGUCCGGCAGUAAGGGGGCGGGUGCUAAGGUCCGUCCCCGAGAGGAGAAGAAUCCAGACCGCCGUCUAAGGUCCCGGAGUUCUGCCUGAGUUAGUCUAACGAAGUCUGGUCCCUAUGACAGCUAGGAUGUUGGCUUGGAAGCAGCCAUUCAUUCAAAGAGUGCGUAACAGCUCACUAGUCGAGGGUCCGGGCAUGGAUAAUAAUCGGGUAUAAGGCAGACACCGAAGGCGCGGGAUAGCAAUUAUAAAAGUAUCGGUAGGGGAGCAUACUCACAGCGUCGAAUGGUGUACGUAAGUUAUCCUGGAGCGGUGAGUAAAGCAAAUGUAGGAAUAAGUAACGAUAAGGAGGGUUAGAUUCCCUCCCGCUGUAAGACCAAGGUUUCCCGGGCAAUGCCAAUCAGCCCGGGGUCAGUCGGGUCCUAAGUCUAAGCCGAACGGCGAUGGCGAUGGCAGAGACGGUUAAUAUUCCGUCACUGCCGCAUGGGGCGACGUGGAGACGGAGCAGUGAAACCACCGCGGGGCGACGGAAGUCCCCGUUGAAGAGUGUAGGCGUUGAGGAUGGCAGGCAAAUCCACCAUCCGAGCUGAACUUGACAGUACGGAGUCCUCCUCGGAGGAAUCUGAUAGUGUGGGUAAUCAUACUCCCGAGAAAAUCCGCUAAGCUUAACCCAUGCGGCACCCGUACCGCAAACGGACACACGUGGUCGGGUAGAACAUACUAAGGCGUUGAGAGAUUCAUGGUUAAGGAACUAGGCAAAUUGACCCUGUAACUUCGGGAUAAAGGGUCCUCGUGAUGAGCGAGGCGCAGAGAAUAGGUCCAGGCAACUGUUUAACAAAAACACAGGGCUGUGCAAACUCGAAAGAUGACGUAUACAGCCUGACACCUGCCCGGUGCCGGAAGGUUAAGAGGAGAUGUCACUAGCAAUAGGAAGCAUUGAAUUGAAGCCCCGGUAAACGGCGGCCGUAACUAUAACGGUCCUAAGGUAGCGAAAUUCCUUGUCGGGUAAGUUCCGACCUGCACGAAAGGCGCAACGACUUGGGCGCUGUCUCGACCAUGGACCCGGUGAAAUUGCACUGGUCGUGAAGAUGCGACUUACCCGCGGAAGGACGGAAAGACCCCGUGAACCUUCACUGCAGCUUGGCAUUGGCCGCUGGUCCCGCGUGUAGAGGAUAGGCAGGAGGCACAGAUCCGGAGGCGCCAGCCCCCGGGGAGCCGCCCUUGGAAUACUGCCCUCGCGCGACCGGCGUCCUAACCCGAGGCCGUCAACCGGCUCGGGGACCGUGCCAGGCGGGCAGUUUGACUGGGGCGGUCGCCUCCUAAAGGGUAACGGAGGCGCGCGAAGGUCCGCUCGGGACGGUCGGCAACCGUCCUUUUGAAUGCAAGAGUACAAGCGGGCUUGACUGCGAGGCCCACAAGCCGAGCAGGUGCGAAAGCAGGCUCUAGUGAUCCGGCGGCCCCGAGUGGGUGGGCCGUCGCUCAACGGAUAAAAGGUACUCCGGGGAUAACAGGCUGAUCUUGCCCAAGAGUCCACAUCGACGGGGAGGUUUGGCACCUCGAUGUCGGCUCAUCGCAUCCUGGGGCUGGAGCAGGUCCCAAGGGUACGGCUGUUCGCCGUUUAAAGCGGUACGCGAGCUGGGUUCAGAACGUCGUGAGACAGUUCGGUCCCUAUCCUCCGUGGGCGCAGGAGAAUCGAUGGAGGCUGCCCCCAGUACGAGAGGACCGGGGUGGACGCACCUCCGGUGAACCGGUUGUCGACCAACGGCACGGCCGGGUAGCCGCGUGCGGCGCGGAUAACCGCUGAAGGCAUCUAAGCGGGAAGCCGUUCCAGGGAUUAGUUCUCCUUCCGGUAAGGGCCCAGGUAGACUACCUGGUCGAUAGACGGCAGGUGCAAGGACGGCGACGUCCUCAGCCGAGCCGCACUAAUCGCCCGAGCUCUUCCGGAA
This 2185-nucleotide ribosomal RNA is filed under the name human gut metagenome. RNAcentral describes it as "bacterial LSU rRNA". It matches the Rfam family "Bacterial large subunit ribosomal RNA", at positions 733 to 2925 of the family's 2925-position model. The record is from RNAcentral.